This 2378-nucleotide ribosomal RNA is filed under the name Vibrio parahaemolyticus. RNAcentral's name for it is "bacterial LSU rRNA". It matches the Rfam family "Bacterial large subunit ribosomal RNA", at positions 583 to 2925 of the family's 2925-position model. Lineage: Bacteria; Pseudomonadati; Pseudomonadota; Gammaproteobacteria; Vibrionales; Vibrionaceae. The record is from RNAcentral.
GCUUUGUCCUGUGACUGCGUACCUUUUGUAUAAUGGGUCAGCGACUUAUAUUCAGUGGCAAGGUUAACCAUCUAGGGGAGCCGUAGGGAAACCGAGUCUUAACUGGGCGUUCAGUCUCUGGAUAUAGACCCGAAACCAGGUGAUCUAGCCAUGGGCAGGUUGAAGGUUGAGUAACAUCAACUGGAGGACCGAACCGACUAAUGUUGAAAAAUUAGCGGAUGACUUGUGGCUAGGGGUGAAAGGCCAAUCAAACCUGGAGAUAGCUGGUUCUCCCCGAAAGCUAUUUAGGUAGCGCCUCGGACGAAUACUACUGGGGGUAGAGCACUGUUAAGGCUAGGGGGUCAUCCCGACUUACCAACCCUUUGCAAACUCCGAAUACCAGUAAGUACUAUCCGGGAGACACACGGCGGGUGCUAACGUCCGUCGUGGAGAGGGAAACAACCCAGACCGCCAGCUAAGGUCCCAAAUUACUACUAAGUGGGAAACGAUGUGGGAAGGCUCAGACAGCCAGGAUGUUGGCUUAGAAGCAGCCAUCAUUUAAAGAAAGCGUAAUAGCUCACUGGUCGAGUCGGCCUGCGCGGAAGAUGUAACGGGGCUAAGUAGUAAACCGAAGCUGCGGCAAUGUGCUUUUGCACAUUGGGUAGGGGAGCGUUCUGUAAGCGGUUGAAGGUGUGUGGUAACGCAUGCUGGACGUAUCAGAAGUGCGAAUGCUGACAUGAGUAACGAUAAAGGGGGUGAAAAACCUCCUCGCCGGAAGACCAAGGGUUCCUGUCCAACGUUAAUCGGGGCAGGGUAAGUCGACCCCUAAGGCGAGGCCGAAAGGCGUAGUCGAUGGGAAACGGGUUAAUAUUCCCGUACUUCUUACAAUUGCGAUGGGGGGACGGAGAAGGCUAGGUGGGCCUGGCGACGGUUGUCCAGGUUCAAGUGCGUAGGCUUAAGAGUUAGGUAAAUCCGGCUCUUUUUAAGGCUGAGACACGACGUCGAGCACCUACGGGUGUGAAGUCAUUGAUGCCAUGCUUCCAGGAAAAGCCUCUAAGCUUCAGAUUGUAAGGAAUCGUACCCCAAACCGACACAGGUGGUCGGGUAGAGAAUACCAAGGCGCUUGAGAGAACUCGGGUGAAGGAACUAGGCAAAAUGGUACCGUAACUUCGGGAGAAGGUACGCUCUCGACGGUGAAGUCCCUCGCGGAUGGAGCUAUUGAGAGUCGCAGAUACCAGGUGGCUGCAACUGUUUAUUAAAAACACAGCACUGUGCAAAAUCGUAAGAUGACGUAUACGGUGUGACGCCUGCCCGGUGCCGGAAGGUUAAUUGAUGGGGUUAGACUUCGGUCGAAGCUCUUGAUCGAAGCCCCGGUAAACGGCGGCCGUAACUAUAACGGUCCUAAGGUAGCGAAAUUCCUUGUCGGGUAAGUUCCGACCUGCACGAAUGGCGUAAUGAUGGCCACGCUGUCUCCACCCGAGACUCAGUGAAAUUGAAAUCGCUGUGAAGAUGCAGUGUACCCGCGGCUAGACGGAAAGACCCCGUGAACCUUUACUACAGCUUGGCACUGAACAUUGACCCUACAUGUGUAGGAUAGGUGGGAGGCUUUGAAGCACGUACGCCAGUAUGUGUGGAGCCGUCCUUGAAAUACCACCCUUGUAGUGUUGAUGUUCUAACGUUGACCCCUUAUCGGGGUUGCGGACAGUGCCUGGUGGGUAGUUUGACUGGGGCGGUCUCCUCCCAAAGAGUAACGGAGGAGCACGAAGGUGGGCUAAUCACGGUUGGACAUCGUGAGGUUAGUGCAAUGGCAUAAGCCCGCUUGACUGCGAGAAUGACAAUUCGAGCAGGUGCGAAAGCAGGUCAUAGUGAUCCGGUGGUUCUGAAUGGAAGGGCCAUCGCUCAACGGAUAAAAGGUACUCCGGGGAUAACAGGCUGAUACCGCCCAAGAGUUCAUAUCGACGGCGGUGUUUGGCACCUCGAUGUCGGCUCAUCACAUCCUGGGGCUGAAGUCGGUCCCAAGGGUAUGGCUGUUCGCCAUUUAAAGUGGUACGCGAGCUGGGUUUAGAACGUCGUGAGACAGUUCGGUCCCUAUCUGCCGUGGGCGUUGGAAGAUUGAAGGGGGCUGCUCCUAGUACGAGAGGACCGGAGUGGACGAACCUCUGGUGUUCGGGUUGUGUCGCCAGACGCAUUGCCCGGUAGCUAAGUUCGGAAUCGAUAACCGCUGAAAGCAUCUAAGCGGGAAGCGAGCCCUGAGAUGAGUCUUCCCUGAUACUUUAAGUAUCCUAAAGGGUUGUCGGAGACUACGACGUUGAUAGGUCAGGUGUGUAAGUGCUGUGAGGCAUUGAGCUAACUGAUACUAAUUGCCCGUGAGGCUUAACCAUACAACACCCAAGGGGUUU